AUUGAACGCUGGCGGCAUGCCUUACACAUGCAAGUCGAACGGUAACAGGUCUUCGGAUGCUGACGAGUGGCGAACGGGUGAGUAAUACAUCGGAACGUGCCCGAGAGUGGGGGAUAACGAAGCGAAAGCUUUGCUAAUACCGCAUACGAUCUCAGGAUGAAAGCAGGGGACCGCAAGGCCUUGCGCUCACGGAGCGGCCGAUGGCAGAUUAGGUAGCUGGUGGGAUAAAAGCUUACCAAGCCGACGAUCUGUAGCUGGUCUGAGAGGACGACCAGCCACACUGGGACUGAGACACGGCCCAGACUCCUACGGGAGGCAGCAGUGGGGAAUUUUGGACAAUGGGCGCAAGCCUGAUCCAGCCAUGCCGCGUGCAGGAUGAAGGCCUUCGGGUUGUAAACUGCUUUUGUACGGAACGAAAAGACUCUGGUUAAUACCUGGGGUCCAUGACGGUACCGUAAGAAUAAGCACCGGCUAACUACGUGCCAGCCGCCGCAGUAA
This 498-nucleotide ribosomal RNA is filed under the name uncultured bacterium. RNAcentral's name for it is "partial 16S ribosomal RNA". It matches the Rfam family "Bacterial small subunit ribosomal RNA", at positions 30 to 523 of the family's 1533-position model. The record is from RNAcentral.